RNAcentral lists this ribosomal RNA (538 nucleotides) under uncultured bacterium. Its description in RNAcentral is "bacterial SSU rRNA". It matches the Rfam family "Bacterial small subunit ribosomal RNA", at positions 773 to 1312 of the family's 1533-position model. The record is from RNAcentral.
CAGGAUUAGAUACCNUGGUAGUCCACGCCCUAAACGAUGUCGAUUAGCUGUUGGGCAGCAUGACUGCUUAGUAGCGAAGCUAACGCGUGAAAUCGACCGCCUGGGGAGUACGGUCGCAAGAUUAAAACUCAAAGGAAUUGACGGGGACCCGCACAAGCGGUGGAUGAUGUGGAUUAAUUCGAUGCAACGCGAAGAACCUUACCUGGUCUUGACAUGUACGGAACCCUCCAGAGACGGAGGAGUGCCUUCGGGAGCCGUAACACAGGUGCUGCAUGGCUGUCGUCAGCUCGUGUCGUGAGAUGUUGGGUUAAGUCCCGCAACGAGCGCAACCCUUGUCAUUAGUUGCCAUCAUUAAGUUGGGCACUCUAAUGAGACUGCCGGUGACGAGCCGGAGGAAGGUGGGGAUGACGUCAAGUCCUCAUGGCCCUUAUGACCAGGGCUUCACACGUCAUACAAUGGUCGGUACAGAGGGUAGCCAAGCCGCGAGGCGGAGCCAAUCUCACAAAACCGAUCGUAGUCCGGAUUGCACUCUGCAANU